This 464-nucleotide long non-coding RNA is filed under the name Dromaius novaehollandiae (emu). RNAcentral's name for it is "lncRNA (ENSDNVG00000004419.1)". The record is from RNAcentral. Lineage: Eukaryota; Metazoa; Chordata; Aves; Casuariiformes; Dromaiidae.
CAGACAGCUGCCAGUGCAUAUCAGGAACAGCUCGGGAGCUAGUCUCCCCCAGCAUCGGUCCUUCAGGCUUGAGGGAAUCUCUAGCCAGUGAGCCGGUGUCAGACCACAGUAGGAGGCUGAGUUCCUGGGAGCUGGCUGAGGUUUGCUUAUCCUGUCCAAAGUGUCCUCCCUCAGACUUCUGAGAGCCGAACACUGACAGAGUGGGGGACUCCAGCAUGCCCGAGGGUCUGUGCUAAAGCUAACCUUUCAGUGAGCUUCACCAGCUCCUCCCUCUACUUGUGCAGGCUCAGCAGAAAGAGUUUUACAGUCUGCACAUGCCUAAUGUAGCAGCCUUCCCUGAGAAAACAAGCCACAGUAACACCCCAAGCUGUACCGGGUAGAACCAAUGUGAAGACAUGCUUGGUCUGCAAUUCCAAACAUACAUGGCAGCAUAGAAAACUCAGCCUUGCUGCAACCAGGGAGAA